Molecule: transfer RNA, 72 nt
Filed under: Camelus bactrianus (Bactrian camel)
Lineage: Eukaryota; Metazoa; Chordata; Mammalia; Artiodactyla; Camelidae
Also listed under: 2 other names
Rfam family: tRNA
About the family: Transfer RNA (tRNA) molecules are approximately 80 nucleotides in length. Their secondary structure includes four short double-helical elements and three loops (D, anti-codon, and T loops).
Source: Rfam by way of RNAcentral
GAGGGGGUAGCUCAGUGGUAGAGCGCAUGCCUAGCAUGCACGAGGUCCUAGGUUCAAUCCCCAGCUCCUCCA